Molecule: ribosomal RNA, 253 nt
Filed under: uncultured bacterium
Lineage: Bacteria
Description: partial 16S ribosomal RNA
Rfam family: Bacterial small subunit ribosomal RNA
Source: RNAcentral
UACGUAGGGCGCAAGCGUUAUCCGGAAUUAUUGGGCGUAAAGAGCUCGUAGGCGGUUUGUCGCGUCUGCCGUGAAAGUCCGGGGCUCAACUACGGGCUGGCGGUCGAUACGGGCAGGCUGGAGUUCGGUAGGGGAGACUGGAAUUCCUGGUGUAGCGGUGAAAUGCGCAGAUAUCAGGAGGAACACCGGUGGCGAAGGCGGGUCUCUGGGCCGAUACUGACGCUGAGGAGCGAAAGCGUGGGGAGCGAACAGG